This 998-nucleotide long non-coding RNA is filed under the name Anser brachyrhynchus (Pink-footed goose). RNAcentral's name for it is "lncRNA (ENSABRG00000008523.1)". The record is from RNAcentral. Lineage: Eukaryota; Metazoa; Chordata; Aves; Anseriformes; Anatidae.
AGGAAACACACUGAAAGCUUCGGUGGCGGGUAGAUCCUCCCCGCGACCUGCGGUCUGGUUCCAGAGCCCCGGGAGAAACGACGCCCGUCAUCUCCUGCGCCCCACCAGCUCCCCAGCCGCUGGGCGCACGCAGGUGCUGAGCGAGCAGCGGAGAAGCGGGGCAGCUCCUGCGUCCCGGCACAGCCCUCGGCGGCCAUCCGAGGGCUGUUUGCAGUGCAAGCCCUCCGCAUGAAUACCGGAGGAUGUUACCAGUAGUCCCUUGCCUCCCUAGAGGGUUAUGAGAAUAAAUACGGUGAAGAAAAAAAGAACCGGAGACCAAGAAGCUAGAAAAUCGGAGAUUGCUUUUGCGUACUGAAAACCCAGAAGCUUCCCAUCCUCGCCUGCUGCCCUGGGCUCUGCUGUCGCCUUCGACUGCUCCUCCCCGUGCCCUCUCCCUGCUGUCGCCCCAUCCCGGCCGCGUUUUGGCUCUCGGAGGAGGUGCUGGAGCCUCUCCGGAGCAGCCCGGGGACGGGCAGGGAUCCGAGAGCCAGGAAAUCCCGAUUUCUGCCUCCACACCUGAAGCCGAGCCCUUUCCGCAGCCUCCCCGUGCCUUCCCGUGUGUCUUCGUCCCACCAGCACGUGGCCGCCCCGGCUGGAUGCUGCCUGCUUCCUGCGCGGGGCUGCGGGCGGCGGUGCCGUGGGGCUGCUGCUGGGGCACCCGCGGGCUUCCAGCGGGGCCGCCACGCGACGUUACCUCCACGCAAAGCCCGUCAGGACAUUUCUGAGGGGGUUUUAAGGUUUGCCAUAAAAAAAUGGGACUCCACUGACCCAAAGCUCGGUCUCAGGUGUGCGGGUGCAGCCGGGGCUCGGGAGCACCGCAGGCGCCAGCCUCCAGCUGCAGCAGGAGCUGCCCGAAAAUGCCGAUCAGAAACCUGCCCAAACCGGGAUUUACAAUAUCUUGGUUGACAAAUUUUAUUCGUUUCUUUCUUUUUUUUUUUUUCUCCUUCCUGGGGAAGUUU